Long non-coding RNA from Apis dorsata (giant honeybee), 554 nucleotides. RefSeq lists it as uncharacterized. The record is from RefSeq and is a predicted model, not a curated record. NCBI's taxonomy places the organism in Eukaryota, Metazoa, Arthropoda, Insecta, Hymenoptera, Apidae. The transcript is spliced from 3 exons.
AUCAACUAUCAUGAAUUGGACACGAAUGUAUUGAGGAAUUUUGAUCGAAAAAAUUCUCGUGCGCACGCUCCGUCUAUGACCUUAACCCAGACCUAAGUCAAACUUAAUCUGAGCUCUGACGUCAAUGCUCGAUAAAACAUGGCAAUUUUUUCAUCUGAUUAUUAGCCAAACAACACUUUCAUUCUUUAAAUUCUUUCCUAUUACACUUUCAACUUUUUCGAAUAUCACAUUGAACAAUAUUUUAUAAGAUAUGUUAAAUAGUGAGAUUUCGAAUAUCGUAAUAUAUCUUGGAAAAUGGGUAGAAUUUUUUUCGAAGAAAUGUUGAGGAAGUCACAUAGCGUUCCUUGCAUUGUGAUGACCGAAGUGACAAAUUAAAAUUUACGAUGAGGAAACCCUUCAAUCCCAGGGGACUUUAUCAUUUUGGUGGGAUAAUUAAGAAGUUUACAGGAAGAAGGGUUAUAUUAAUUUAUAUUUAAAAGUCUAAGUAUAACACAAAAGUGGUUGUGUUAUUUUUAGAUAAUAAAUGAGCAUUUAUUUUUAUUUUUUUUACUUAG